CCUACGGGUGGCAGCAGUAGGGAAUAUUGGACAAUGGAGGCAACUCUGAUCCAGCCAUCCCGCGUGAAGGAUUAAGGUCCUAUGGAUUGUAAACUUCUUUUCUCUGGGAAUAAAAACUCCGUUUCUACGGAGCUUGAAGGUACCAGAGGAAUAAGCACCGGCUAACUCCGUGCCAGCAGCCGCGGUAAUACGGAGGGUGCAAGCGUUAUCGGGAUUCACUGGGGCGUAAGGGAGCGUAGGUGGCUGUGGUGAAAUGUCGCAGAUUAACUGCGAAACUGCCAGUGAUACUGUUUAGCUUGAAUCAAGUUGAGGUGGAUGGAAUAUUACAUGUAGCGGUGAAAUGCUUAGAUAUGUAAUAGAACACCAAUUGCGAAGGCAGUUCACUAAACUUGUAUUGACACUGAGGCUCGAAAGCGUGGGGAUCAAACAGGAUUAGAUACCCCGGUAGUC
This 450-nucleotide ribosomal RNA is filed under the name uncultured bacterium. RNAcentral's name for it is "partial 16S ribosomal RNA". It matches the Rfam family "Bacterial small subunit ribosomal RNA", at positions 338 to 795 of the family's 1533-position model. The record is from RNAcentral.